This 2184-nucleotide long non-coding RNA is filed under the name Homo sapiens (human). Its description in RNAcentral is "HSALNT0112706". The record is from RNAcentral. Lineage: Eukaryota; Metazoa; Chordata; Mammalia; Primates; Hominidae.
CCAGCUUCCUCCUCUUCCUCCUCCAGCUCCAACUGCAGUGGCAAGGUCUGGGGAUUGAGAGGCCCGGCAUGACUAAGAGAUAUCGUGAAAUUACAACUCAACAAUGAAUUACAGCACAGGCUUUUCACAACUAAGAGACUGUCCAUCAUGGUGCCAGUUUUUCUCAAAAUGGCAUGUGUGCAUGAAAUUCUACAGGCAUAUGGGGUCGUGAUCUGCUAAUCUCCAGUUAUUAUACAAAACUACAGAUACUUGAAAACAGAACCAAAUAAAAAUUCUAGCAGAAGAAGACAAUAUAUGAAAUUUAAUAAUUCAUUUCCUGGGAAUGACAGCAGAAAGGUGAUGACAGAGGAAAGAGCCAAUAAAAUUUGAAGACAGACUACUUUGAAAAGGGACUUUCCAGCUAUCAGUACACUAUCUCACAAUUACCCUUGAACCAGAAGACAAUGAAUGAUUUGCUAAACAGAUGGCAUAGUCUAUGACAUGCAUCAUAUGUGUGAGCAAUCACAGAAGACCAAAUUAUGAUUGUAUGUCCCAGAAAUUCACUUAGAAGCUAAUAGAAAAAAUGAAACCAAAGCCUUUUGAGAGUUGAAAAUUUAUCAUGACAUAUGCUGGCUGCACAGUCAAAACUUAUCACUGCCCACGACUUCGGAAGCAUGACAGGAGAGCUGUGGGAGCCACUUCCUCGUCAGACGUGGUUUGAUAUGUCAAGUGAGAACCUGAGUAAAGCAAAGAGCCUCCUGCCCUGCAGCCUGUUCUUCUGUGUCCAGGAUUGGUUCCCUCCGGUGGGUUCUUGGUCUUGCUGACUUCAAGAAUGAAGCUGCAGACCUUCGCGGUGAGUGUUACAGCUCUUAAAAGUGGCAAGGACACAAAGAGUAAGCAGCAGCAAGAUUUAUUGUGAAGAGUGAAAGAGCAAAGCUUCCGUGUAAUGGGACCCGAGCAGGUUGCUCCUGCUGGCUGGUGGGGGAGGGGGGGGUUGGCCAGCUUUUAUUCUCUUAUUUGUCCCCACCCAUGUCCAACUGAUUGGUCCAUUUUACAGAGCGCUGAUUGAUCCAUUAUACAGAGCAUUGAUUGGUCCAUUUUAUAGAGUGCUGAUUGGUCCAUUUUACAGAGUGCUGACUGUUGCAUUUAUAAUCCUUUACUAGACACAGAGUGCUGAUUGGUGCAUUUAUAAUCCUUUAGCUAGACACAGAGUGCUGAUUGCUGCAUUUUUACAGAGUGCUGAUUGGUGCAUUUACAAUCCUUUAGCUAGACACAGAGCGCUGAUUGGCGUGUUUACAAUCCUCUAGCUAGACAGAAAAGUUCUCCAAGUCCCCACUCCACCCAGGAAGUCCAGCUGGCUUCACCGGUCACUUCCUCAAACCCAGUGUGGAAUGUGGUUACUUUUUUAGUUUGAAGCAGCUCCUGACAGACCCUAGGAACUUUAUAGAUGAAACUGAGUGAUCUUUCCUAAUUACCAUGCUAAAGUCUCCACCCUGAGAGAAACUAUAGCAUCAUUACCAUAACAUGCGACCUAUGUGCUGGCAUAAUGACUCGCUGCAUUCCCGCCACUGGGACCCCUCCUCUACAUGUGAUGAUACACCCUGUCCCCUCUUCAUUGCCCAGUGAAGCCCUACUGUCACUUUCCCUCGGGGAGACACCACUUUGGAGAUACUCCCAGCUACUCCGGAGGCUGAGGCGCGAGAAUCCAGAAUUGCUUGAACCUGGGAGGCAGAGGUUGGAGUGAGCUGAGAUCGCAAUCGCACCACUGCACUCUAGCCUGGGUGACAGAGUGAGACUCCAUCUCAGAAACAAACAAUCAAAUACUCCUACUAAUUAAAACCUGCAUUCUCAUGGACAGUUGUUUGCUGCUUUCCAGGCAAACGAACCCUGGUUUUACAGGGAACACAACCUUGAUUGCAUUUAAUUGUGAAAGACCCUGUGGACAUGGAAAUAGCAGGGUUGUCCUGGAAAGUACAAAAGGAGAGCCUGAACCAAAAGAAAGCAAUCUGAGAAGAGGCGCAAAGAAGCAAAGGUAAACUGACAGUAGCAGCGGACAUUUGAAUGCAAAUUUAUUUAAACUAUAAAUUAAUUAGAAAUAAAAUAUUUGAAAGUAUUUGAUUAGUGCUACGAUUGUUUUAGGUCUCAGUUUACAACUAAUCAAAAUAAUACUAAUGUUCAAAAAUUAUCCAGGUAUUCAGAUCUUUU